AACACCCCCUCUGACCCCUCCUAUUCCAGGUCAUAGAGCAGCUGCUGGUUAGUGGGCAGCCCCUGCUCAUCUUCCUGGAGGAACCUCCUGGGGCUCUGGGGCCACGGCUGUCAGCCCUGGGCCAGGCUUGGGUGGGGUUUGUGGUGCAGGCAGUCCAGGUGGGCAUCGUCCCAGAUGCUCUGCUGGUACCAGUGGCCGUCACCUAUGACCUGGUUCCGGAUGCACCGUGUGACAUAGACCAUGCCUCGGCCCCCCCUGGGGCUGUGGACAGGAGCUCUGGCUGUCCUACGUAGCUUGUGGAGCCGCUGGGGCUGCAGCCACCGGAUCUGCUCCUGGGUGCACCUAGCUCAGCCCUUUUCCCUGCAGGAAUACAUCGUCAGUGCCAGAAGCUGCUGGGGCGGCAGACAGACCCUGGAGCAGCUACUGCAGCCCAUCGUGCUGGGCCAAUGUACUGCUGUCCCAGACACUGAGAAGGAGCAGGAGUGGACCCCCAUAACUGGGCCUCUCCUG
Molecule: long non-coding RNA, 510 nt
Filed under: Pan troglodytes (chimpanzee)
Lineage: Eukaryota; Metazoa; Chordata; Mammalia; Primates; Hominidae
Description: long non-coding RNA NONPTRT010206
Source: RNAcentral